RNAcentral lists this small RNA (135 nucleotides) under Buttiauxella sp. BIGb0552. RNAcentral describes it as "Salmonella enterica Typhi npcRNA 44". It matches the Rfam family "Salmonella enterica Typhi npcRNA 44". The record is from RNAcentral. Lineage: Bacteria; Pseudomonadati; Pseudomonadota; Gammaproteobacteria; Enterobacterales; Enterobacteriaceae.
CUUUAAAAAUCCGGAACAAGCUGAAAAUUGAAACGACACACUGUUUCCUUUCUCCGUAAUAAGAAAGGAAUAGAAGUGUGUUCGAGUCUCUCAAAUUUUCACAACAUACGAGUGUGUCUUACGAGACAUCUUCGG